AGAGUUUGAUCCUGGCUCAGAUUGAACGCUGGCGGAAUGCUUUACACAUGCAAGUCGAGCGGCAGCGCGGGGGCAACCCUGGCGGCGAGCGGCGAACGGGUGAGUAAUGUAUCGGAACGUACCCAGUCGUGGGGGAUAACUAUCCGAAAGGAUAGCUAAUACCGCAUACGUCCUGAGGGAGAAAGCGGGGGACCGUAAGGCCUCGCGCGAUUGGAGCGGCCGAUAUCGGAUUAGCUAGUUGGUGGGGUAAAGGCUCACCAAGGCGACGAUCCGUAGCUGGUCUGAGAGGACGACCAGCCACACUGGAACUGAGACACGGUCCAGACUCCUACGGGAGGCAGCAGUGGGGAAUUUUGGACAAUGGGGGCAACCCUGAUCCAGCCAUUCCGCGUGAGUGAAGAAGGCCUUCGGGUUGUAAAGCUCUUUCAGCAGGAACGAAACGGUGGUCCCUAA
RNAcentral lists this ribosomal RNA (453 nucleotides) under uncultured bacterium. RNAcentral's name for it is "bacterial SSU rRNA". It matches the Rfam family "Bacterial small subunit ribosomal RNA", at positions 8 to 463 of the family's 1533-position model. The record is from RNAcentral.